GACGAACGCUGGCGGCGUGCUUAACACAUGCAAGUCGAACGGAAAGGCCCUGCUUUUGUGGGGUGCUCGAGUGGCGAACGGGUGAGUAACACGUGAGUAACCUGCCCUUGACUUUGGGAUAACUUCAGGAAACUGGGGCUAAUACCGGAUAGGAGCUCCUGCUGCAUGGUGGGGGUUGGAAAGUUUCGGCGGUUGGGGAUGGACUCGCGGCUUAUCAGCUUGUUGGUGGGGUAGUGGCUUACCAAGGCUUUGACGGGUAGCCGGCCUGAGAGGGUGACCGGCCACAUUGGGCCUGAGAUACGGCCCAGGCUCCUACGGGAGGCAGCAGUGGGGAAUAUUGCACAAUGGGCGGAAGCCUGAUGCAGCAACGCCGCGUGCGGGAUGACGGCCUUCGGGUUGUAAACCGCUUUCGCCUGUGACGAAGCGUGAGUGACGGUAAUGGGUAAAGAAGCACCGGCUAACUACGUG
RNAcentral lists this ribosomal RNA (468 nucleotides) under uncultured bacterium. RNAcentral describes it as "partial 16S ribosomal RNA". It matches the Rfam family "Bacterial small subunit ribosomal RNA", at positions 28 to 507 of the family's 1533-position model. The record is from RNAcentral.